RNAcentral lists this ribosomal RNA (504 nucleotides) under uncultured bacterium. Its description in RNAcentral is "bacterial SSU rRNA". It matches the Rfam family "Bacterial small subunit ribosomal RNA", at positions 28 to 526 of the family's 1533-position model. The record is from RNAcentral.
GACGAACGCUGGCGGCGUGCUUAACACAUGCAAGUCGAACGAAGCACUACUAGUUGAUUCCUUCGGGAUGAAGCAGGUAGUGACUGAGUGGCGGACGGGUGAGUAACGCGUGAGUAACCUGCCUUUCAGAGGGGGACAACAUUUGGAAACGAAUGCUAAUACCGCAUAACAUAUCUUUGUGGCAUCGCAGAGAUAUCAAAGGAGUUAAAUCCGCUGAAAGAUGGACUCGCGUCCGAUUAGCUAGAUGGGGAGGUAAUGGCUCACCAUGGCGACGAUCGGUAGCCGGACUGAGAGGUUGAUCGGCCACAUUGGGACUGGGACACGGCCCAGACUCCUACGGGAGGCAGCAGUGGGGAAUAUUGCACAAUGGGGGAAACCCUGAUGCAGCGACGCCGCGUGAGUGAAGACGGCCUUCGGGUUGUAAAGCUCUGUUGACGGGGACGAUAAUGACGGUACCCGUUCAGAAAGCCACGGCUAACUACGUGCCAGCCGCCGCGGUAAUAC